UUGGAGGUGGAGACCUCAACAACCUUGCAUGGGCGGUUCUUGAUGACAAUAUGACCGUUCUUGCGAAUAGUACCAGCCUGCUGCGGGUAGGUCUUGGACGCGCCGGCGUCGGCCUUCGACUCGAAGUGGUGCUCCUCGGAGUCCGACAUCGCCCGCUCCUCGGAUCAGAAACCCCUACAAAAUCCCCUUGCGAGAGGUGGUCGCGGCGGCG
This 211-nucleotide unclassified non-coding RNA is filed under the name Hevea brasiliensis (rubber tree). The record is from RNAcentral. Lineage: Eukaryota; Viridiplantae; Streptophyta; Magnoliopsida; Malpighiales; Euphorbiaceae.